AUGCCCCCACAGGUGGGUGUGGGGGGUUCAGGCCGCCGGCAAGUUGCCAGGCCCGGGGCCUCCUCCCCUGACGCUGACGAGGGGUCCGUGACGCUGAAGGCCGGGCGCUCAGGUGGACGCGGCCACACCCCUCCCUCUGGCUUGUCACCGACGUGCAGGAGUCCCCGAUCCCAGAAACACGGGGACAACAUUUCCCCGAUGUUGAGGGAGACCUCGGCAACACGCCCCAGCAGCGACCCCGACGCUGAAAUCCUCUUGCUUGCAUUCCCACGCAGGACUCGGAGCACCUCAGGGAAGAACGUGUCCCUGCCCGCCCUGGAGACGUCCAGCCCGGCGUGGCCCAGACCGUCGGCAGCAGCCAUCCUCCGCCAGGCUGCGCAGCGGGGGCGGCUGAGCCCGGGCAGCGACAACACAGGUCAACUCGACAGAAAGAAAACCGGUCCCCAAGGCCACGCCCGGCUCCCGGACCCCACAAGGAGAGUGGCCACCACACCCGAAGCUCCUCAACACCAGCUAGCAGUCCCCUCCAGGACACGUGGAAGCUGCUGGACCUGGGAUCCAGCCCCUCCGGCCUCACCUCCCAGGACGACUCUGAGCCAGGUAGACUGAGGCCCAGGCUCCCGGGCUCCUGGGCCCCAACAGGGCAGAGACGGUGCUGGCGACUGCCUUACUUCAGGGAGGCCCGGCCCCGGGAGGACCCCACAUGCGUCCGGAAGAUUAUCUCCAAAGUGCAGAAAGCACUUCCUGGUUUAUGGGACGACUGUGUGGGACAAAGGUCAUUGGGUACAUGCGGGUGGGCAUUGAAGGUCAGGUCGGGGGUCCUGCUGGCUCAGGGCAGUCCUUCAAGCUGGAGGGGAGUUUGGGUUCCUGUCAGCGACCCUGCUCUGCCAGAGGCAACAGGGAAGCCGGCAGGAGGAACUUAGUGACAAACUAGAGCCAGGGGUCAGAAUGGAGGGGAGACAGUGUGUCUCUGGCCUCUGCUGGCAGGGCUGGGGGACAGCAAGGUGGCCACGGUGGCCACGGCCAGGCUGAAGUGCAGGCGCACAUGCUAAGCCCUUCCCGCCUGGGUGGGCUCCCGCGCUGAAGCCCGGUGCCGUGCGCGUCCCCACCCGCGGCGUGGUGCAGGCCCCCUCCGCAGGGAGCCAGAGCCUCCAGGCCAGGAGACGCAGGCGUCCUCUGUUCUGCUCGGCCUCCUGAGCAUGACCCCGUCCUGGUCCUGGUCCUGCCUGGUCGUCCUGGGUGUCCAGCAGCGUCCAUCCGGAGGGCCCACCUCUGGGGAGCCGCAUGACCCCACGUGGCCCAAAGGCCGAGGCCAAGCCAGGGCAGCUACACGCACCCCUUGGGGGAUCCGAGCGCAGGGAGAGCCCUCGCCCCAGCUCUCUGCCCGCGCGGUCGCGCUCCGUCAUGCGCACGUGAACCGACGUGACUGUGUCCUGCAGCGGACAUUAUAGAUUAUUUCCAACCUUUGUCCCACACGUCAUGUUACAGUGAAUGGCCUUGUACACACUCUCUCCAGGGUGUCUGUAAAUUCGAGGGGCGGAGCGUUGCUUUGUCAGAAAGCAGAUGCAUUUCUCACUGGGGAGGUGUCCAGCUGCUCUGUGUGGACACCAGCAGUUCCUGGGCACACAAGGGUGCAGGGUGCAUGGGGGGGAAUGUGGGGGGUGCGCAGGAGGGGG
RNAcentral lists this long non-coding RNA (1676 nucleotides) under Canis lupus familiaris (dog). Its description in RNAcentral is "lncRNA (ENSCAFG00000057099.1)". The record is from RNAcentral. Lineage: Eukaryota; Metazoa; Chordata; Mammalia; Carnivora; Canidae.